AUGAAUCAACCAGAGAUUUCUGCCAUGUGUUCAUCCAUCUACCUGAGCCUGUGCGAGCACAGACAACAAGUAGCAAAGCCUUAUUUAACUAGUCAACCAGCAGCAGGUCAUGUAGAGUGGAGACUCUCGAUUCAACCAAACUUUGUUUCACAGUUACAGCAGAGAUGGCUGCACAUUUCUAACAGAAACCGAUUCUGCAACGGUGAACAACGACACACUUCUCCCAAAUGCCACAGGUUGCAAGGAGGGGAACCACAUAAGACUGCAACACAAGUACUAAAAAAACGUCUUAUAUUUUGA
This 300-nucleotide ribosomal RNA is filed under the name Triticum aestivum (bread wheat). Its description in RNAcentral is "partial small subunit ribosomal RNA". The record is from RNAcentral. Lineage: Eukaryota; Viridiplantae; Streptophyta; Magnoliopsida; Poales; Poaceae.